GGAGAAAUGGCUGAGUGGGUGAAAGCGAUGGAUUGCUAAUCCAUUAUAUGAAACUGUUUAUAUCAAGGGUUCGAAUCCCUUUUUCUCCG
RNAcentral lists this transfer RNA (89 nucleotides) under Halimeda borneensis. RNAcentral's name for it is "tRNA-Ser". It matches the Rfam family "tRNA". From Rfam's summary of the family: Transfer RNA (tRNA) molecules are approximately 80 nucleotides in length. Their secondary structure includes four short double-helical elements and three loops (D, anti-codon, and T loops). Lineage: Eukaryota; Viridiplantae; Chlorophyta; Ulvophyceae; Bryopsidales; Halimedaceae. The record is from RNAcentral.